GACGCCUGGGCGGGCCCGGGCCGUGCCCUCCGGGGUCGCGCCUCGGCGGGGGGCGUUGGCCUCCGGCGGGUGACGGGAUCGGUUGCCUGGGGGCGUUG
This 98-nucleotide transfer RNA is filed under the name Streptomyces naganishii JCM 4654. RNAcentral describes it as "tRNA-Ala". Lineage: Bacteria; Bacillati; Actinomycetota; Actinomycetes; Kitasatosporales; Streptomycetaceae. The record is from RNAcentral.